CGCUAUUGAAAGGCGGCAAUCAAAAUAGAAAGAAAAUACAAGUGAAAUAAAGCAGAUAAAAAGUAGAGAAUUUAAUGUUUAUGUGUUUAUUGCUAUGUCCAAGCGCAAUAAUAUAACCUACGUGAAGCCACAGGAACCCAGUUUUUUGGCCAAACUCAAGGCGGAAAUUGGCUAUAAGGAAGGGCCGACCGUCGACACAAAGCGCCAGAAACUAGAAGACCUCGACCAGGACCAGGACCGGGAAGACUACGAUUCCAGUGAGGAACGGCCAGAGCGCGAGGACGAGAAGCCGCAAAUUGUUGUCCUAUCGCGUGGGGAUCUCACGGCUGACGAGGUGGCCCUCGAGCAGCAGCGCAUAGCAAAAGAGGAAGCUGAAAAGCCCGCGGAUUUAAAUCAACCUAUUGUCUUCAAGCAGCGCGUUAAACAGCCAAAAAUUGAGACGGAGGAUAAAACGGAUAAAACCAAAUCCAAGAAAUCAUCAGAUAAACGCAAAAAGUCCAAGGCCAGCAGCAGUAAUAGCAAAUUGUCAUUCAACGAGGACGAAGAGGACGCUGAAGCAGUCGAGGAUUAAACCACAUACACCCGUAAAGUCAUAGAUAGAGUUGUUAUCCAACGAUUCCCCCAAUUCGAGUUUGCCAUAUCCCACCAAGCUGCCCCUUUGUAUGGUUGCCCACAGUGAAUGGUUAGGCAACCUCAGAAGCAAUAACAAGGAGAGCAGCAAGCAGCAUCGACAUAUAUCGACCAAGAGGCACAUUCCAAUAACAAGAGAACAAAA
Drosophila innubila is the source of this 775-nucleotide RNA transcript. RefSeq lists it as uncharacterized. Lineage: Eukaryota; Metazoa; Arthropoda; Insecta; Diptera; Drosophilidae. The transcript is spliced from 4 exons. The record is from RefSeq and is a predicted model, not a curated record.